CCUACGGGGGGCAGCAGUGGGGAAUAUUGCACAAUGGGCGAAAGCCUGAUGCAGCGACGCCGCGUGAGGGAUGACGGCCUUCGGGUUGUAAACCUCUUUCAGCAGGGAAGAAGCGAAAGUGACGGUACCUGCAGAAGAAGCGCCGGCUAACUACGUGCCAGCAGCCGCGGUAAUACGUAGGGCGCAAGCGUUGUCCGGAAUUAUUGGGCGUAAAGAGCUCGUAGGCGGCUUGUCGCGUCGGAUGUGAAAGCCCGGGGCUUAACCCCGGGUCUGCAUUCGAUACGGGCAGGCUAGAGUGUGGUAGGGGAGAUCGGAAUUCCUGGUGUAGCGGUGAAAUGCGCAGAUAUCAGGAGGAACACCGGUGGCGAAGGCGGAUCUCUGGGCCAUUACUGACGCUGAGGAGCGAAAGCGUGGGGAGCGAACAGGAUUAGAUACCCCU
Molecule: ribosomal RNA, 439 nt
Filed under: uncultured Streptomyces sp.
Lineage: Bacteria; Bacillati; Actinomycetota; Actinomycetes; Kitasatosporales; Streptomycetaceae
Description: bacterial SSU rRNA
Rfam family: Bacterial small subunit ribosomal RNA
Source: RNAcentral